AUGUUACAUGCGUGCGCGCUCGCGCACACACACACACACACACACAGUCUCACAUAUUUCCUUUCUGAUAGUGUUUGUCUUUCUCUUAACCUUUUCUCCUCAUCCACUGGCUCUCUCCCUGGAGCGCUGGUCUCCUAUCUUUUUCCAUCACAUUUCAGGCUGGCUGAUCAGAUCAGACACUUGGAGAAGACCACAAUUCUCCAAUCCCUCCUGCAGGACUUUGUGUCUCUAUCCUGCUUCAACGUGCCGAGUGUGCAAGACUGUCAUGGAGGGAAAAGCUGUACUGCUGGAUUUUCCCAAGCCACUGACCUAAUUCAAGUCCUUAAAAGCAUGGAGGAAAGAGGAAGACUUAAUGCUCAGAGCACAAGUAAAGACUCAAAAAGAGGGACUCCUAUUCGCCUCUACAAGCGAUGUCUGAGGAUCAUUGAGUCCAAGAAGCCUUGACUGAUGAUUCCCAAACAUCAGCACCCUUAAGUACCAGUUACUAGAAUGGGAAUGCAAUGCAUCUGUCCAACAUCACCCUCUAUUGUGUUUUUUAAAAGAUUUUUAAGCCUUAUGAUAAAUGUGGCAGAAGGACUUGAUUUGCUGCUGUUCGGUAUAGGAGGGAGUUCCUUAUACCUUCCAACUUUUCCCCAAAUCUUUGAACUCAACUGUAAAUAAUGAUCCACAACUAGAGUUGUACAGAAUUCUCCUGCUGAGGGUACUAUGAUCUCUGACAAAAAUUUAAUAUAUUUAUAUAGAGUCUUUGUACUUCUAGAUUAAAACCCUUGAAUAUUACCAGUCUCUGUUACGUCAUUGUCUCACAUUACAAGAUUCCCUUAAGGUGCACAGUAUUUUUUAGCCAGUAGCAUUUCUAAAAUUGCUCAAGAGGUGGCACCCUUCUACCUCUAACAGUAAGGUAAUUGACAUUCACACGCUCAUUUGUUAUUUUUCUUAGUUUUAGUAUGUCGUGAAUUGAUCAUGUUGAAGUAAAGUGUGGGAUUUUCACUUCUUACCUAAAGGCUUGAAAUUGAAAUAUUGUGUCAUGAUGAUCAUCAUUUACCUACCUUGUCACUACAAUCAGAAAAAGUACAGUAAUAAAAAUUAAACCAUGAGUAUUAAACAAACCCUAAUACAACCUCGGCAUUACUAGGAAGUAUGUUUGUUGAAAUGUUUGUCGGCCAGGGCUCUCCAACAGGUAGAUCGCGAGCUACUAGUUGCUCGCAGCCCACCUAUGAGUAACUUGCCAAUCAAUUCUGAAAGUACAUGCAGUUUUUUUUGUGUGUUCCGUUGUAAACUGUCAUAAACACAGAGCUCCUGCUACUAUCCAAUCCAUGCCACUUUGACAUUAUCCCAUCCCUGGUUAGCCACUACUAGCUUAAACAGGGCUGCCAACUUUUGAAAAAAGCUUGGAGUGAGAUUUGUUAUGUGAAUUUCUUUGCCCCCUGGCACAACCCCUAUAUGUACAAUUUUACUGUUUUAAAGCUAAUUUCCUGCAAUUCUACAUAUUUUCACAUGGCUUAGGCAUAUGACACUGGUCAGGUGUAUUCAGGGUAUUUUGAACAUUAAAUGAACACUCCAUUUGAC
Molecule: long non-coding RNA, 1566 nt
Filed under: Oncorhynchus kisutch (coho salmon)
Lineage: Eukaryota; Metazoa; Chordata; Actinopteri; Salmoniformes; Salmonidae
Description: lncRNA (ENSOKIG00005004005.1)
Source: RNAcentral